AAAAACCCUAACAUCAAUUCUAAAUUUAAGAUUAAAAAUUUAAAUUUUGGCUUAUAAGAAUAAUUAUAAAUAAAAAUAUGAGGGUGUUAUAAUACAAAUACAGGGUUCUCUAAAAUUCUCUUUAAGAAAAGAAAAGUUUAGGAGAACCAAAAAAAACAUGGGAGUCGAUUGUGCCCCAAUUGCAUAAGAUUACCUAUCACCAUGUCCACGAACAUCAUCAGUUUAUCACACACUAGAGUUCACUGUCAAUAUAAAUUUAAUGAGACUAAUGAUUCACUUUAAUGUUUAAGGUGUGUUAGAAGCUUGUAGUAAUAUUCCAUACUGCGUACUCCCUCUAUUUUUUAUUUGACGUUUUUUUUCUAUAUUUAACCAUUUGUAUAAUUCCAAGAAUUUAUAUAAUUAUUAAAUAUUUUUAUGUUUAAUUAAUUAUUAAAACUUUAAAAAUAAUAUAUAAUUUCAUAUAUUUAUAUAAAAUAUUUAAAUAAGACGAAUGAUAGUUCAAAAGUUUAACAUUAAAUAAAAAACAGUUGAGGACUCGUAAGGAUAUAUACACUUGGGUAGGUCACAGUCCCAGUGGUCCCACCUGUAAGUGAGACGAACGUGUUGACCCUGGUCAACACUCAACUCAGUGAGAAAGUGAGACUGAGUGACAUAAAUGCCGGAAGAGAAGACGAGAGAGCAAGCAACGAUGGCGGCCAAACCCAAACCCUCACCCUCGCCGCC
This 723-nucleotide long non-coding RNA is filed under the name Oryza brachyantha (malo sina). RNAcentral describes it as "long non-coding RNA (OBRA_LNC000996)". The record is from RNAcentral. Lineage: Eukaryota; Viridiplantae; Streptophyta; Magnoliopsida; Poales; Poaceae.